UACGAAGGGGGCUAGCGUUGCUCGGAAUGACUGGGCGUAAAGGGCGCGUAGGCGGAUUGUACAGUCAGGCGUGAAAUUCCCGGGCUCAACCUGGGGGCUGCGCUUGAGACGUGCGAUCUUGAGUGGGGAAGAGGAGAGUGGAAUUCCUGGUGUAGCGGUGAAAUGCGCAGAUAUCAGGAGGAACACCGGUGGCGAAGGCGGGUCUCUGGGCCGAUACUGACGCUGAGGAGCGAAAGCGUGGGGAGCGAACAGG
RNAcentral lists this ribosomal RNA (253 nucleotides) under uncultured bacterium. RNAcentral describes it as "partial 16S ribosomal RNA". It matches the Rfam family "Bacterial small subunit ribosomal RNA", at positions 524 to 776 of the family's 1533-position model. The record is from RNAcentral.